RNAcentral lists this ribosomal RNA (346 nucleotides) under uncultured bacterium. Its description in RNAcentral is "bacterial SSU rRNA". It matches the Rfam family "Bacterial small subunit ribosomal RNA", at positions 1 to 334 of the family's 1533-position model. The record is from RNAcentral.
ACAGAUCGUUCAGAGUUUGAUCCUGGCUCAGGAUGAACGCUAGCGGCAGGCUUAACACAUGCAAGUCGAGGGGCAGCAUAAUGAAGUAGCAAUACGGAUUUGAUGGCGACCGGCGCACGGGUGCGUAACGCGUAUGUAACCUACCCUUAACAGGGGGAUAACACUGAGAAAUUGGUACUAAUACCCCAUAACACUACGGAGGGCAUCCUCUGAAGUUGAAAGUUCCGGCGGUUAAGGAUGGACAUGCGUUGUAUUAGCUAGAUGGUGAGGUAACGGCUCACCAUGGCGACGAUACAUAGGGGGACUGAGAGGUUAACCCCCACACUGGUACUGAGACACGGACCAG